UAACGCGAAGAACCUUACCAGGUCUUGACAUCUUCUGAUAGCCUAAGAGAUUAGGUGUUCCCUUCGGGGACAGAAUGACAGGUGGUGCAUGGUUGUCGUCAGCUCGUGUCGUGAGAUGUUGGGUUAAGUCCCGCAACGAGCGCAACCCUUAUUGUCAGUUGCCAGCAUUAAGUUGGGCACUCUGGCAAGACUGCCGGUGACAAACUGGAGGAAGGUGGGGAUGACGUCAAAUCAUCAUGCCCCUUAUGACCUGGGUUACACACGUGCUACAAUGGACGAUACAACGAGUCGCUAGACCGCGAGGUUAAGCUAAUCUCUGAAAGUCGUUCUCAGUUCGGAUUGCAGGCUGCAACUCGCCUGCAUGAAGUCGGAAUCGCUAGUAAUCGCGGAUCAGC
RNAcentral lists this ribosomal RNA (395 nucleotides) under uncultured bacterium. Its description in RNAcentral is "bacterial SSU rRNA". It matches the Rfam family "Bacterial small subunit ribosomal RNA", at positions 957 to 1353 of the family's 1533-position model. The record is from RNAcentral.